RNAcentral lists this ribosomal RNA (245 nucleotides) under uncultured Lachnospiraceae bacterium. Its description in RNAcentral is "partial 16S ribosomal RNA". It matches the Rfam family "Bacterial small subunit ribosomal RNA", at positions 524 to 768 of the family's 1533-position model. The record is from RNAcentral. Lineage: Bacteria; Bacillati; Bacillota; Clostridia; Lachnospirales; Lachnospiraceae.
UACGUAGGGGGCAAGCGUUAUCCGGAUUUACUGGGUGUAAAGGGAGCGCAGACGGUAAAGCAAGUCUGAAGUGAAAGCCCGCGGCUCAACUGCGGGACUGCUUUGGAAACUGUUUAACUAGAGUGCUGGAGAGGUAAGCGGAAUUCCUGGUGUAGCGGUGAAAUGCGUAGAUAUCAGGAAGAACAUCAGUGGCGAAGGCGGCUUACUGGACAGUAACUGACGUUCAGGCUCGAAAGCGUGGGGAG